Molecule: long non-coding RNA, 4644 nt
Filed under: Olea europaea (common olive)
Lineage: Eukaryota; Viridiplantae; Streptophyta; Magnoliopsida; Lamiales; Oleaceae
Description: long non-coding RNA (OEUR_LNC010616)
Source: RNAcentral
GCAUAUUCUAAUAAAUUUAAAGAUCUUGAUUUAUUUUGACCUUGUUCGAUUCUUAUUUUUUCCAAAAUACAUUUUUCUCUACUUUUUUUCAACCGCACAUUUUAAAUAAAAAAUAUUACAUGCAAAUUCAAAUAUUUUCCUUAUUUUUAACCACACAUUCUUCAUCAAUCUAUUAUUUGAAAGUGCAUUUUUUUUCUAUUUUUUGGGGCUCAAACAAGUCCUUUAUAUUAUCUAGAAAUAUACUGUCAAUUACACAAAUAAUCCCACUGCUUCUAAACAUUCUCCAGAUCAAUUACUAUGCAGCUUAAACACUACAAAGCUAUAAAGAAAGAAUAAAUGACCCCUAGAAAUACUGAAAAGGCAUUUGAGAAAAUUGAGGAAGAAACAGAAGAUACAAAAGAGUGAAAUAAAUAGGAACAACAAUCUUGACCAACAAAAUUAAGAAACAAAAUGCAAAAUGAUAGUAAAGGAAAAAGAUAUACCACCAGGAAAUUAACAGUGCUCUAAGAUCCAAGAAGCAAAAGAUACUAAAUAUAAAUAAGACCAACAAUCUGGACCAACAAAAUUAAGAAUCAAAAUGCAAAAUGACAGUAAAGAAAAAAAAUAUACCAGCAGGAAAUUAACAGUGCUCUAAGAUCCAAUAAUAGUGAGAAUAGGAUUCCUUUUCAAUAUCAUAAAUGAUCCCUAGAAAUACUGAAAAGGCAUUUGAGAAAAUUGAGGAAGAAACAGAAGAUACAAAAGAGUGAAAUAAAUAAGAACAACAAUCUUGACCAACAAAAUUAAAAAACAAAAUGCAAAAUGAUAGUAAAGGAAAAAGAUAUACCACCAGGAAAUUAACAGUGCUCUAAGAUCUAAGAAGCAAAAGAUACUAAAUAUAAGUAAGACCAACAAUCUGGACCAACAAAAUUAAGAAUCAAAAUGCAAAAUGACAGUAAAGAAAAAGAUAUACCAGCAGGAAAUUAACAGUGCUCUAAGAUCCAAUAAUAGUGAGAAUAGGAUACCUUUUCAAUAUCUUCUUUACUAAAUACCAAUAAAGCUAAGAAACAAAAUGCAAAAACGAUAGUAAAGAAACAGAUAAACCAGCAGCAAAUUAACAGUGCUCUAAGAUCCAAUAAUAGUAAGGAGAGAAUUCCUUUUCAAUAUCUUCUUUACCAAAUACAACAGUUACAUAGUAAAAAUACCAUCUGAACUGAGGACUUGCAAGAAACAAUAUAUUUUUCCCCGUUAAAAUUGACUUCACCAGAGGAAAAGUAGAACAUCUCAUGUCAAUAACCCCAAAACUUUUCAUUUCACGACCUGAGCUUAAAAGCUGCAAGCUAUAGAUAAAGAUUAAAUGACUUCUUUACAAAAUACCACAGUUACACAGUAACAAUACCAUCAGAAUUGAGGAAUUGCAAGAAACAGCAUAUUUUUUCCUUUAGCAUUGACUUUACCAGAGGAAAAGUAUCAGACCUCAUCUCACUAACCCCACAACUUUUCAUUUCACGACCUAAGCUAAAAAGCUGCAAGCUAUAGAUAAAGAUUAAACGACUUUUGUAAUAGAGUACAUGAAUUUAAGAAAAGAAGGGCACGAAACUAAUAAUACAGGAUAAAAUGAAAGAAAACAAAAUAAACAAACGUGGACAUAAGGAAAGAUGAAACGGGUGAAACAAAAAUAAAAAUAACAUUCUAAAGUCACGAACAAAUUGAGCCUAUAAGAGCAGAACAGACAUUAUUAAAACACAGCAUUCUCUUAGAAGAUACAUACAAGGAUGUUCCAGGGUCUUUUCCAUAUCAUGAAUUCUCCUCUUCUUUAAAAAAGUAUUGAUCCUCAUGAAAAAAAAAAUUAUAAUAAUAAUAAUAAUAAUAAUAAUAAUAAUAAAUAAAUAAAUAAAUAAAACUUACAUUUUUUUGGAUUUCCCAUUUUUUGGUUGAUUAGCAACACCAUCAUACAUCUUCAAAAUCUGGAGUGAGGAGAUGCUUAAAAACAAGACGUAUGUGCAACAAAAACAAACUCAAAAAAUGCAAAACUACAUGAAAUGAGAAAUCUAUAGAUUGAAUGUGCCAUCAGUAAUUGCUUCGAGUAACUUUGUAAAUAGAAAGAAGAACGUAUAAAACAAAGGGAAAUAGGGAAUGGAAAGGCUACAAAAAGACGACUAAAAAAAAAAAAUUAAGUUAUAAGGGGAAAAAUGCACAGAAGAAACAGAGUAUCUUAGACAAACCAAUAAGGAAAAAAACAAAUUUUGAUUUUCUGCCACUUACACUGCUACUUCUGAAUCAAGAGGAUUUGGUGAAUAAUUUCCCACUUCACAUUCCAAUGAUGAAGAAACUACUAAAGUAAAGGUCAAUGUCAAUUAAGUUGGUUGGAUCAGGCUACUACGAACUCUCCAGGCAACAUCCUUUACUCCUAAAAAUUUACCACCAGAAACAAAUAAGUAAAUUGUAAUCAUGUAAGUUGUUUAUGAUACUGUACUACAAGUCUAAAUCUAUUUUUUACAGAUAACCCAUUAAGCAAACCUAAACAAUUCUACAUUGCCUUGCAAGUUGAUGCAGAAGAAUUGAAGGAGAACUUAAUUAUCUCAACUUCCGAUCAUGCCAAAUGUUUGAAUCCUUGAUGGCCAUCAUUGUAAUGAAGUCACCUUGUAAAAAUUAUGAAUUAUGUGUCUGAUUGAAUAAGUAGACAUAAAAAAGGAAUAAAACAAUAUAAUAUGAGGAAAGGGAAAAAAAAUCCAGAGUUCCUAUAAGUUAGUGUUAUCUUUAGAAAAGGGAGGGGGGGGGGGGAUUCUCUGUUUUCCCUUAAGAGGUCAAAAAGGUCAAAAGAUUAUUAUUAGAUUGGUUAUACUUGAUAGCGUUGAGUAUGUAGUUUGAUGAACGUGUGAACAUUCUAAACGUGGCACCCGUUAGACAGGGACAUAAUCUGGGUAGACUUGAGAAGAUUCAUAUCCACAGACAAAGCAAGGGCAAACCAUAACUAGGGUGGUUUAUUGAGCUGCAACAGUUCUUGGCUUUAAAUCUUCAAGUAGAUCUGCAAGAUUUAUUAUUGAUGUUGUUCAUGACAAAAAAUACUAAAUCUUUUAACCAAAUCACUAACGAAAAUACAACUAAUAAUAAACCAUAGCAAACCAAUAUCAAUGUCAGCUUGAAAGCUGCCUCACACAUUACCACCUACAAACAAGAACGAUGAUCCAGAGAUUAUAAACCUGCAUUAAAUUUCCUAGUGCCUUUCAAGUUAAAUUCUAUGAUCAGUUUGAAAUAUCAACAGACAAAAGUUAUAUCCCAGGAUGAAGUCAAGAUCCUUUCCUCUCAAAGACUGAAGCCGCAUUAAAUUGGAAUGAUUGAACUUACAUCAAGAAGCAAACACCGCAGUCUAACACCAAACAUUCAGCAUUUUAAAAUAUUUACAAAUUUAGAAUUACCAAAUCUAACCCGAGGGGUAGCACAGUUCUCCAAUGGUCACCAAUUCGAGUCCGGGUCAUUGAGGUGAGUACCGGCUGUAAACUUGAGAGCCCGUGGCCCGUGGAAUUAGUGGGAUGUGCAAAAAAAAAAAAAGAAGAAAAAAAAAAGAAAAAGAAAAAGAAAAAAAAAGAAAAAAAAGAAGAGGAAAAAGAAUUACCAAAUCCAGACCCUUCCCAACAUCCCUCUUCAUCACUAAAAGUUGCAAGAUUGUUAAAUUUUCAUAUCCUAAUUUCUAAUUAUAGGCAAAGAAAUUAACCCCCCACUAAUGUCAGAUUAUAGAGAGUGAGAAACCAAUUAUUAUAAGACCUAAAGGAAGAGGAUGUAUCUGAUCAGAAUAACUAGCAAUCCUGUAGAUCAGUUCUCUAUGCAGAACAAGAGAAAAUCAUCGCCAACCAAAAAUCUCCAUCCUAGAAUUAACAUUGUAUCAUCGCCAACCAAAAAUCUCCAUCCUAGAAUAGAAAAAAAUGUAGUAUACAAACAUAAUUCCAGCAAAACCUCAGGAAUCAAACAUCCAGCAUUUUAAAAUCGUUACAACUAUAGAAUUACCAAUACCAAAUCCAGAUCCUUCCCGUCAUAUCCUUCUUGAUCACUAAAAUUGCAGGAUUGUCAAAUUUUCAUAUCUUAAUUCCGAUAUACAGUCAAAGAAAUUAUAGAGAAAGUGAAAAACAAAACCAAAUAUUAUAAGAUCAAAUGAAAGAAGAUGUAACUCUACCUGAUCAGAAUCACUAGCAAUCCUGUAGAUCAGUUCUCUAUGUAGAACAAGGAAAACCAUAAACACGCCGUAAAAGGGAAGAAGAAAAUUAACGUUGUAUCAUCACCAAACAAAAAUCUCCAUCCUAGAAUAGAAAAAAUGUGUAUAAAGAGUAGACGUAAUCGUAGGAAAACCUCAAGAAUUGGCAAUAAGAUUUCGCUUCUUUUCCCCCUGAUGAAUAAGCCCCUGAUCAGAAUCUAAAUACCAGCAAUUAAAAAUUCACCAACAUAAGAUUCAUCAACUAAUCCCAAAACCAAUUAAACAGAAUCACACCAAUCAAUCCACCAAAGGAGAUCAAUAGAAAUUGAACCACAAGAUAAAACCACCACACGAAUAAAGCGAAAUACGAUAGUGAUCAAAAGAAUGUGGGUGGUAUUUAUAGAGGUGCUGCCGAAGAAUACGUGGCUGUGAUUAAUAGGGGCAACUUGAUCCAACGGUAAAUAUGAUCCUUAUCCUUU